UGGUGUGAUCAUACAAGCACUAAUGCACCGGAUCCCAUCAGAACUCUGCGUAUAACUGUGCUUAGGAGAGAGUAGUACUAGGAUGGGUGACCUCCUAGGAAGUCCUCGUGUUGCACCUC
This is a non-coding RNA of Lupinus angustifolius (narrow-leaved blue lupine), 119 nucleotides long. NCBI's taxonomy places the organism in Eukaryota, Viridiplantae, Streptophyta, Magnoliopsida, Fabales, Fabaceae. The record is from Rfam.